UACGGAGGGGGCCAGCGUUGUUCGGAAUCAUUGGGCGUAAAGAGCGCGUAGGUGGUUUGGUAGGUUGAAUGUGAAAUACCUGGGCUUAACCCGGGGGCUGCAUUCAAAACGGCCAAGCUAGAGUGUUGGAGAGGGAAGUAGAAUUUCUGGUGUAGCGGUGAAAUGCGUAGAUAUCAGAAAGAAUGACAGUGGCGAAGGCGACUUCCUGGCCAAAUACUGACACUGAGGCGCGAAAGCGUGGGGAGCAAAGAGG
Molecule: ribosomal RNA, 253 nt
Filed under: uncultured bacterium
Lineage: Bacteria
Description: partial 16S ribosomal RNA
Rfam family: Bacterial small subunit ribosomal RNA
Source: RNAcentral